UACGGGGGGUGCGAGCGUUGUCCGGAAUCACUGGGCGUAAAGGGCGCGUAGGUGGCGUGAUAAGGGUGUGGUGAAAGCCCGGGGCUCAACCCCGGGUCUGCCGUGCCGACUGUCAGGCUAGAGUACUGUAGGGGCAGGCGGAAUUCCGGGUGUAGCGGUGGAAUGCGUAGAGAUCCGGAGGAAGACCGGUGGCGAAGGCGGCCUGCUGGGCAGUUACUGACACUGAGGCGCGACAGCGUGGGGAGCAAACAGG
RNAcentral lists this ribosomal RNA (253 nucleotides) under uncultured bacterium. RNAcentral describes it as "partial 16S ribosomal RNA". It matches the Rfam family "Bacterial small subunit ribosomal RNA", at positions 524 to 776 of the family's 1533-position model. The record is from RNAcentral.